AUUGAACGCUGGCGGCAUGCUUUACACAUGCAAGUCGAACGGCAGCGCGGGCUUCGGCCUGGCGGCGAGUGGCGAACGGGUGAGUAAUACAUCGGAACGUGCCCGGUAGUGGGGGAUAGCGCGGCGAAAGCCGGAUUAAUACCGCAUACGACCUGAGGGUGAAAGCGGGGGAUCUUCGGACCUCGCGCUAUUGGAGCGGCCGAUGGCAGAUUAGCUAGUUGGUGGGGUAAAGGCCUACCAAGGCGACGAUCUGUAGCUGGUCUGAGAGGACGACCAGCCACACUGGGACUGAGACACGGCCCAGACUCCUACGGGAGGCAGCAGUGGGGAAUUUUGGACAAUGGGCGAAAGCCUGAUCCAGCAAUGCCGCGUGUGUGAUGAAGGCCUUCGGGUUGUAAAGCACUUUUGGCGGGAACGAAAAGGACUGUGCCAAUACCACGGUUCGAUGACGGUACCCGCAGAAUAAGCACCGGCUAACUACGUG
RNAcentral lists this ribosomal RNA (484 nucleotides) under uncultured bacterium. Its description in RNAcentral is "partial 16S ribosomal RNA". It matches the Rfam family "Bacterial small subunit ribosomal RNA", at positions 29 to 507 of the family's 1533-position model. The record is from RNAcentral.